RNAcentral lists this long non-coding RNA (205 nucleotides) under Elaeis guineensis (African oil palm). RNAcentral's name for it is "long non-coding RNA (EGUI_LNC047440)". Lineage: Eukaryota; Viridiplantae; Streptophyta; Magnoliopsida; Arecales; Arecaceae. The record is from RNAcentral.
UGCCUUAUCUCCUAUAAUCUAGAGGGGUCAAUCCUAUUUUGAUUCAUAUACAGACUUUGCAAGUACGUGACUGUACCUAGUAGCCUUUCAUCAUUGCAUUAAAAAUGCAGAUAGUCUGACAUCAAAGCACAAUGGCUGCUUGCAAGCCACUAUGGUGAUCUCAGGUCUGAGGGAUACUUAUACCUAUAUCCUUUGUAAGCUAUCC